Molecule: long non-coding RNA, 1093 nt
Filed under: Oncorhynchus mykiss (rainbow trout)
Lineage: Eukaryota; Metazoa; Chordata; Actinopteri; Salmoniformes; Salmonidae
Description: lncRNA (ENSOMYG00000049084.1)
Source: RNAcentral
UAGUAUGAUAGGUGUUGUUUUACAGGGUCAGCCCAUAGUAGUAUGAUAGGUGUUGUUUUACAGGGUCAGUAGUAUGAUAGGUGUUGUUUUACAGGGUCAGUCAUAGUAGUAUGAUAGGUGUUGUUUUACAGGGUCAGUAGUAUGAUAGGUGUUGUUUUACAGGGUCAGCCAUAGUAGUAUGAUAGGUGUUGUUUUACAGGGUCAGUCAUAGUAGUAUGAUAGGUGUUGUUUUACAGGGCCAGCCCAUAGUAGUGUGAUAGGUGUUGUUUUACAGGGUGAUUCAUAGUAGGAUGAUAGGUGUUGUUUUACAGGGUCAGUAGUAUAAUAGGUGUUGUUUUACACGGUCAGCCAUAGUAGUAUGAUAGGUGUUGUUUUACAGGGUCAGUAGUAUAAUAGGUGUUGUUUUACAGGGUCAGCCCAUAGUAGCAUGAUAGGUGUUGUUUUACAGGGUCAGUCAUAGUAGCAUGAUAGGUGUUGUUUUACAGGGUCAGUCAUAGUAGUAUGAUAGGUGUUGUUGUACAGGGUCAGCCAUAGUAGUAUGAUAUGUGUUGUUUUACAGGGUCAGUAGUAUGAUAGGUGUUGUUUUACAGGGUCAGUAGUAUGAUAGGUGUUGUUUUACAGGGUCAGUCAUAGUAGUAUGAUAGGUGUUGUUUUACAGGGUCAGUCAUAUUAGUGUGAUAGGUGUUGUUUUACAGGGUCAGUCAUAGUAGUAUGAUAGGUGUUGUUUUACAGGGUCAGUCAUAGUAGUAUGAUAGGUGUUGUUUUACAGGGUCAGUAGUAUGAUAGGUGUUGUUUUACAGGGUCAGUAGUAUGAUAGGUGUUGUUUUACAUUGUCAGCCCAUAGUAGUAUGAUAGGUGUUGUUUUACAGGGUCAGACAUAGUCGUGUGAUAGGUGUUGUUUUACAGGGUCAGUCAUAGUAGUAUGAUAGGUGUUGUUUUACAGGGUCAGUCAUAGUAGUAUGAUAGGUGUUGUUUUACAGGGUGAUUCAUAGUAGGAUGAUAGGUGUUGUUUUACAGGGUCAGUAGUAUAAUAGGUGUUGUUUUACACGGACAGCCAUAGUAGUAUGAUAGGUGUUGUUUUACAGGGUCAGUA